This 286-nucleotide long non-coding RNA is filed under the name Dromaius novaehollandiae (emu). RNAcentral describes it as "lncRNA (ENSDNVG00000001117.1)". The record is from RNAcentral. Lineage: Eukaryota; Metazoa; Chordata; Aves; Casuariiformes; Dromaiidae.
UUUACAGCUGUUACAACUCUAACUUGUAAUAUCAACAAAUGGCUCUGAAUCAAGAGCCACUGAAAAAUGAAAAUGCAUGAAGAACAAGAUAAAAGGAAGAAAAGAGUCAACAAUCUUUGAAAAACUGAAUAAAUUGAUACAUUUCUGGACUCAACAGAUGGAAAUGCCGCAUUCCUCCGAGCCCUCGUCGGCGAGCAUCUAAAUAACUCUGCCUACAGCCUGAGCUGCGGGGAGGUGAUUUCUACCACCAAAACCAGGCGGCCCCGGACCAGCCGCAGCCCGCCUU